GUCUUUUUGAUUAUAAUUUAAAGUCUGACCUGCCCAAUGAGUAUUUAAAUGGCCGCGGUAAUUUGACCGUGCAAAGGUAGCAUAAUCAUUAGUUUUUUAAUUGAAAGCUGGAAUGAAUGGUUGGACGAGAAAAUAGCUGUCUCAAUUUAAUUGAAUAUAGAAUUUUAUUUAUAAGUAAAAAAGCUUAUAUGAGUUUAAAAGACGAGAAGACCCUAUAGAAUUUUAUACGUUGAUUUUUUAAUAUUUUUUAGUAGCAAUAAAUAUUAAUAGAUUAAAGUAUUUUGUUGGGGUGACAGAAAAAUUGAAGUAACUUUUUUUAUUAAAAAAUCAUUAAUUAAUGAAUAAGUGAUCCGUUUAUUACGAUUAUAAGAUUAAAUUACCUUAGGGAUAACAGCGUAAUUUUUUUUAAGAGUUCUUAUCGAAAGAAGAGUUUGCGACCUCGAUGUUGGAUUAAAAUUAACUUUUGGUGUAGGGGCUAAAAAGUUAGGUCUGUUCGACCUUUAAAAUUUUACAUGAUCUGAGU
Molecule: ribosomal RNA, 523 nt
Filed under: Cyclocephala stockwelli
Lineage: Eukaryota; Metazoa; Arthropoda; Insecta; Coleoptera; Scarabaeidae
Description: partial 16S ribosomal RNA
Rfam family: Bacterial large subunit ribosomal RNA
Source: RNAcentral